RNAcentral lists this long non-coding RNA (2666 nucleotides) under Homo sapiens (human). RNAcentral's name for it is "HSALNT0352358". Lineage: Eukaryota; Metazoa; Chordata; Mammalia; Primates; Hominidae. The record is from RNAcentral.
UGAGAUGAAAUGAAAUGACAUAAUGAAAUGAAAUAAUGAAAUGAGAUGAAAUAAAAUAAUGAAAUGAUGAAAUAAUGAAAUGAAAAUGAAAUGGAAAUGAUGAGAUGAGAAGAAAUGAUGAGAUGAAAUGAUGAAAUGAUGAGAUGAGAUAAAAUGAGAUGAAAUGAUGAGAUGAGAUGAAAUAUGAUGAGAUGAAAUGACAUAAUGAAUGAAAUGAUGAAAUGGAAUAAUGAAAUGGAAAUGAUGAGCUGAGAUGCAAUGAGUUGAAAUGAGAUGAAAUGAUGAAAUGAGAUGAAAUGAUGAGAUGAGAUGUGAUGAAAUGAUGACAUGAAAUGAUGACAUAAAAUGAGAUGAAAUGAGAUGUAAUGAUGGAAUGAGAUGAGAUGAAAUGAGAUGAAAUAGAUGAGAUAAAAUGAUGAUAUGAAAUGAUGAGAUGAAUGAUGAGAUGAGAUGAAUGAUGAAAUGAAAUGAUGAGAUGAGAUGAUGAAAUGAAAUGGUGAGAUGAAAUGAUGAGAUGAAAUGAAAUAGUGAAAUGAAAUUGAAAUAAAAUCGAAAUGAGAUGAAAUGAUGAGAUGAUGAAAUAAAAUGAUGAAAUGAUGAGAUGUGAUGAGAUGAAAUGAUGAGAUGAAAUGAUGAGAUGAGAUGACAUGAAAUAAUGAAAUGAAAUUGAAAUGAGAUAAGAUACGAGAUGAGAUGAAAUGAUGAGAUGAAAUGAUGAAAUGAUGAGAUAAGAUGAAAAGGGUUGAGAUGAUGAGAUGAAAUGAGAUGAAAAGAUGAAAUGAUGAGAUGAAAUGAAAUGAUGAGAUGAAAUGAGGUGAAAUGAAAUUAGAUGAAAUGUAAUGAGAUGAAAUGAAAUGACAUAAUGAAAUGAAAUAAUGAAAUGAGAUGAAAUAAAAUAAUGAAAUGAUGAAAUAAUGAAAUGAAAAUGAAAUGGAAAUGAGAUGAGAAGAAAUGAUGAGAUGAAAUGAUGAGAUAAAAUGAGAUGAAAUGAUGAGAUGAGAUGAAAUAUGAUGAGAUGAAAUGACAUAAUGAAUGAAAUGAUGAAAUGGAAUAAUGAAAUGGAAAUGAUGAGCUGAGAUGCAAUGAGUUGAAAUGAGAUGAAAUGAUGAAAUGAUGAGAUGAGAUGUGAUGAAAUGACAUGAAAUGAUGACAUAAAAUGAGAUGAAAUGAGAUGUAAUGAUGGAAUGAGAUGAGAUGAGAUGAAAUGAUAGAUGAGAUAAAAUGAUGAUAUGAAAUGAUGAGAUGAAUGAUGAGAUGAUGAGAUGAAUGAUGAAAUGAAAUGAUGAGAUGAUGAAAUGGUGAGAUGAAAUGAUGAGAUGAAAUAGUGAAAUUGAAAUAAAAUCGAAAUGAGAUGAAAUGAUGAGAUGAUGAAAUAAAAUGAUGAAAUGAUGAGAUGUGAUGAGAUGAAAUGAUGACAUGAAAUGAUGAGAUGAGAUGAGAUGACAUGAAAUAAUGAAAUGAAAUUGAAAUGAAAUAAGAUACGAGAUGAGAUGAAAUGAUGAGAUGAAAUGAUGAAAUGAUGAGAUAAGAUGAAAAGGGUUGAGAUGAUGAGAUGAAAUGAGAUGAAAAGAUGAAAUGAGAUGAAAUGAAAUGAUGAGAUGAAAUGAGGUGAAAUGAAAUUAGAGGAAAUGUAAUGAGAUGAAAUGAAAUGACAUGAAAUGAAAUAAUGAAAUGAGAUGAAAUAAAAUAAUGAAAUGAUGAAAUAAUGAAAUGAAAAUGAAAUGGAAAUGAUGAGAUGAGAAGAAAUGAUGAGAUGAAAUGAUGAAAUGAUGAGAUGAGAUAAAAUGAGAUGAAAUGAUGAGAUGAGAUGAAAUAUGAGAUGAAAUGACAUAAUGAAUGAAAUGAUGAAAUGGAAUAAUGAAAUGGAAAUGAUGAGCUGAGAUGCAAUGAGUUGAAAUGAGAUGAAAUGAUGAAAUGAUGAGAUGAAAUGAUGAGAUGAGAUGUGAUGAAAUGACAUGAAAUGAUGACAUAAAAUGAGAUGAAAUGAGAUGUAAUGAUGGAAUGAGAUGAGAUGGAAUGAGAUGAGAUGAAAUGAGAUGAAAUGAUAGAUGAGAUAAAAUGAUAUGAAAUGAUGAGAUGAAUGAUGAGAUGAUGAGAUGAAUGAUGAAAUGAAAUGAUGAGAUGAGAUGAUGAAAUGAAAUGGUGAGAUGAAAUGAUGAGAUGAAAUGAAAUAAUGAAAUGAGAUGAAAUGAUAGAUGAGAUAAAAUGAUGAUAUGAAAUGAGAUGAAUGAUGAGAUGAUGAGAUGAAUGAUGAAAUGAAAUGAUGAGAUGAGAUGAUGAAAUGAAAUGGUGAGAUGAAAUGAUGAGAUGAAAUGAAAUAGUGAAAUGAAAUUGAAAUAAAAUCGAGAUGAGAUGAAAUGAUGAGAUGAUGAAAUAAAAUGAUGAAAUGAUGAGGUGAUGAGAUGAAAUGAUGAGAUGAAAUGAUGAGAUGAGAUGAGAUGACAUGAAAUAAUGAAACGAAAUUGAAAUGAGAUAAGAUACGAGAUGAGAUGAAAUGAUGAGAUGAAAUGAAAUGAUGAGAUAAGAUGAAAAGAGUUGAUGAGAUGAUGAGAUGAAAUGAGAUGAAAAGAUGAAAUGAUGAGAUGAAAUGAAAUGAUGAGAUGAAAUGAGGUGAAAUGAAAUUAGAUGAAAUGUAAUGAGAUGAAAUGAAAUGACAAUGAAAUGAA